GACGUAGGGGGCCAGCGUUGUUCGGAAUUACUGGGUGUAAAGGGUUCGUAGGCGGUGUAGCAAGUCGGGAGUGAAAUCUCUGGGCUUAACCCAGAGGCUGCUUCCGAAACUGCUGUGCUUGAGUGUGGGAGAGGCGCGUGGAAUUGCAGGUGUAGCGGUGAAAUGCGUAGAUAUCUGCAGGAACACCCGUGGCGAAAGCGGCGCGCUGGACCACUACUGACGCUGAAGUGCGAAAGCUAGGGGAGCGAACGGG
This 253-nucleotide ribosomal RNA is filed under the name uncultured bacterium. RNAcentral's name for it is "partial 16S ribosomal RNA". It matches the Rfam family "Bacterial small subunit ribosomal RNA", at positions 524 to 776 of the family's 1533-position model. The record is from RNAcentral.